GAAGCAAGUAAGGAAGAUGACGAAUUCUACUGGAACAUGUUAAAUCUGAGAUGUCUGUUGGCCAUCCAAAUUAAAACAUCCAGUAAGCACUGGGAUUAUAAGGCUCUGAAACUCUGGAGCAGGCUGUGCUGAAUAUAGAUGUAGGAGUCAUCUGGGAACCGGUGCCUGAAGUCCUACGUGUCAAAGAGAGAGCCACAGGAAAGUGUACAGAGUCAGCAAAGUUGAGAACUAAGAUAGGAAUGCCAAUAUUUAUGUGAUGAGCAAAGAAGGAAGAGACCAUAAGCGAGAUCAAGAAGACUCUGGUCAAAAAGGUAAAAAGUGGAAUUUCCCCGAGGCCACACGAUGUGCGAUACUGCAACUAACUGAAGGCAGAAGCAGAGAUGAAGACUAAAACUUACUGUGAAGAAAAGCUCCAUAACUCUGCUGUCCAGAAGAGUCUCCCGCCAGGACUCUGUUGGCUUCAACAGCACAUUUUGCGAGGAUUCAAACAUAGCUAUAUAAUGUCUGCCCAGUUAUUUGGUGUCAAGGUCAACA
This 534-nucleotide long non-coding RNA is filed under the name Homo sapiens (human). RNAcentral describes it as "LNC_000986". Lineage: Eukaryota; Metazoa; Chordata; Mammalia; Primates; Hominidae. The record is from RNAcentral.